AUGCUUUUGUAUGUCACAACACAGUGCUGUGUGUUGGUAUGUUGCUUACCAUUAAGUGUGCUCUUAUAUUUUUUAAACAUUCUCACUUUUCUAAAUUUUUCUUUAGAUAAUAAACUCCUGCAAAGCAGAUUGUUUGGUUCUUCUUCCUCCAUGGUGCCUGGCCCAUCAUUCUGCAGAUAUAAGAUAAGGGAGAGAGAGAAGAGUCAAUAGUGAAGAGGAAGUUUAUCACAUUCGUGAGAAACAUCCUUCCUGAGCUUGCAGCAAAGUGAUCACUGGCCUGUGGAGAAGAAUGUAAAGUUGUUUCACCAGAUGGAACAAAGUUACAGGUUUUAGACAUGAUUUUUAAUGCCAGUGAGGUAUAUCUCUCUUCUAUAAAAUGUACUUGUCUCUAUGAUGGGUUAUUUUUUUAGAUUCUUCCAUCCUUUGGAAAAAGGCAAAAUAUAAAGGCAGUAUGGGCUGUUCACAGCAUAAACUCUGUAAAUUGGUCAUUAGCCAACUUUCCUCAUAGAGAUGGGCACCUUGUGUCAAAAACAGGAAAAUAAAUUAACUUGGACAUGCUUUGGAUGAUUUUCAGCAUGAAAACUGAUAUCCAUGGACUGGAAAUGAAUUUACUCUCUAAAUAUUUGCAGUCAUGAAAUAGUUUAGAUGAAAAUGCUCUCUGAUGAUUCAAAAGUAGAACACUGAGAAAUAAUAAAAUUAGAAUCAUUUUAGAGAAUUCAAGAAGAUGUAUUGUAUAAAGUACCAGUGGGUAGAAGUGGACACAACUCUGAUUGUGACUGCUUAAAUAUACUUCUAAGAGAGUUUUCUAUCUUUUGAAGAAAACUUUCAUGUUUAGGGAGAGGUUUAGGUUUUUGUUUUUUUUUUUUUUUUCAAUUUCUCACAUGAUAUGAUCUAUUUUUUUCCUCUUUCCUUAAAUAAGGAAGAAUAAACAUAAAGAAAAAGUUUGGGUCAGGUAUGGUGGCUCACGCCUGUAAUCCCAGCACUUUGGGAGGCAGAGAUGGGGGAUCACGAGGUCAGGAGAUCAAGACCAUCCUGGCUAACACGGUGAAACCCCAUCUCUACUAAAAAUACAAAAAAAAAAAAUUAGCGGGGCGUGGUGGUGGGUGCCUGUGGUCCCAGCUACUCAGGAGGCUGAGACAGGAGAAUGGCCUGAAACCGGGAGGUGGAGCUUGCAGUGAGCUGAGAUUGCACUACUGCACUCCAGCCUGGGGGACACAGUGAGACUCCUUCUCAAAAAAGAAAAAGUUUGAAAACUAUAAUAUUUACUAAUUUAUUAAUAGCAAAAAAGUCUUAAUACCUUUUUACCAUUCUAAGUUUUGAAUAAUUAAAAUGUAAAAAAGCUAUGAAAUUAAGUUGUAUAUAAUUGUAGAGGGAAAAAAGGUUUAUAUUUUGACACGUCUUGGUUGUGUCCGCACGCAAAUCUCAUCUUAAAUUCCCACGUGUUGUGGGAGGGACCUGGUGGGAGGUACUUGAAUCAUGGGGGCAAGUCUUUCCCAUGCUGUUCUCAUGACAGUGAGUAAAUCUCAGGAGAUCUGAUGGAUAUUAUAAAGUGGAGUCUUCCCACACAAGCUCUCUCUUAGCCUGCUGCCAUCCACAUAGAUGUGACUUUCCACCAUGAUUGUGAGGCCUCCCAGCCAUGUGGAGCUGUAAGUCCAAAUAAACGUCUUUCUUUUGUACAUUGCCCAGUCUAAGGUAUGCCUUUAUCAGCAGCAUGAAAAUGGACUAAUAUGUAUUUCUUCUUGGAUUAUAACUUGAAUUUAAAACUAAAAUGAAAGAAGAAAAAGGAAGAGGAGGAGGGGGAGAGGAAUAUCUUGAUAGAUUUUUCUAAAUUUUUUUUUGAAUUUUUGUUUUAUUAAUUUAGAGAACACAGAGAGCCGUCAUUUAUUUAGAAUUGUUCUACUGUGAUUCUUAUUUUGUCUAUACAGAAAUAGACUUUAUCUGCUAUUGUUAAUUUGAUUUAGCAGGUUUUCUUAUAUUUGGGCAUGAUAUUGAUACAGGUUAUAAUUCUCUAAGAGAAAAAAAAAACACUCAAAGGAGAUGAAAGUAACUCAAAUGCUUGUACCGUCACUAGAUAUUUUGAAACCCACUUUUUAUAUUUCUUAAUUAUUAGUAUUUAUUUAUGAGAAUACUUUUCUGUUUACUGAUUGCUAUGAAUCCUGACAGCUUCAUGAAUUACAAGCUCCCUUAGGCAUGACAUAAUAACUUUGGUUAGCAAAUUGCAGUAUUCCUACAGAGUUUUCUGGAUUUGCCUCAUAAAUGUGCUAUUCAACAAAUUCUUGAACUAAAGGAUUUUUCCUAAGAAAAGAACUUUUAACAUUUUAAGAGAGCUAUGACCAAAUUGUUCAUGGUCAUAAGUCCCUAAAGAGUCCUCAUUAAUAACUAGGUAAAUGGAACCUCAAUGCUACAGCUUAAAGAUCAGAAACUUUGAGCAGACACUUAGAAAGAACUUCAUUAUUUGUGAGUUUGCAGGGGGAAAUUAUAUACCUCUUCAUUUUAUUCUGUACCCUAGAGCCCUAAUCACUAGUGAGAAUAGUAUACUCCAUGGAUUUACCAAUAUUUAACAAUAUUUCUCAGAAUGAGUUUGCAAAUUUAGUGAGAAAUACCCAAGAGUGCUGCUUAAACAUACGUAUAGUUAUCUUAUGAAAUCACUUAGCAAAGACUUGUUAUGCUCUGAUUAGCUUAUUAGUUUAUUCUGGAUCUGAUAGAGAGUUUUGGGGCAUUGUCUGUCAACUUGCUAGGAAUUAGGACAGCAAAUGCUUUCAAAUUGUCUUUGCUCAUUUAACCAUGUCUCUGCAGAUGUUCACUAUUUUAACAUGUCUUUUCUUUGGAAACUGUACUCUAUGUACAGUAUAAUCAUUUAGAGAUGUACAAUUUUGAAUUAAGGUAGAAGUUUAAAAGUAGAUUAAAAUGCUUAGGCAUACUUCCUGCUCAAAUGGGUCCCAUCCUGCAUAUCAAUACAUGACUCAUUCUGAGUGACAAAAGAUCAUUUCAGGUUAGUUUGUUCAUGCUGUCAUAAUAAAAAAUUCCACAGUACAUAGUAUAUGAAGGCAGUCCAUAAUGAUAGUUUAGCUUGUACUUAGGUUAUUUACACAUGAAGAUAAAUGACUUUUUUGUAUACGAAUGGAAAUAUGAGAGAGUUGUUCCUUUAAGGAUUGAAUAAUGUAAAAUAAUUAUGGAGAAACAUUCGUGGUGUUUUCAAGAAUUGCAAUGUGAAACUUGACUCUUCUUAUUUUCUUUACCCAACUAUAUUCUACUCCUGCCACUUUCAUAUGAAUGAGUUAGUGAGGUGGCAAAACAGUGCAGUAAAAAAAUAUUAGAUUUUCAAGAGAGAUAUAGGGUUGUAGCACUGGAAAACUCCAAGCGGUGCCGUUUGUAUAAUAGGCUCUGUGAGUGGCAUUCCUGGAGUUGUGCAGUACACAACAUUGGCGACUAUAUGCAGUUGCCCUGAGCUAGACCAAUGUUAGAGACCUGAUUAAGUAGCAUUGGGCAAAGUUAGUAGCUUUCUCUGAGACUUCUGCUUGUCUCUAAAAUGAAGUUAAUUUUACCUAUCACAUAUGGGUCUUUUGUGAAUUAAAUGAGGUUUUACAAGGGUUUACUUCCAUAACAAUACUAGAAUAGUACCAAGUGCACAGUAGAUGCUUAAUAACUGUUAGCCUUGAAAGUAGGCAGAUGAGAUGAACUCUAGUAAGAGUUUAAAAAGAGAGAAAAAGAUCAUGUUAACUUAGAGGUCUAAAACUUAAAAUAAAGACUAUUGUUUUAAAUUAUCUAGAAAAGGCUUUUUCAUAAUUAGCAAUGCUACACACAUGUACUCAUGCACACACAUGUUCAAAUCUAGGCACACAUAUACUAGCACAUGUGCACACACAGACACACACCCUCCAAAUUUGGGAUACCUAAUUGGAAGAUGCUAAUUUUGCAUCAUAUAAAUUUUACACAUUUACAAGAAAAUAUAAAGUAGACAUCAUGAAUUGUUAUCUAGAAAAAUAUUACCACAAAAAGGUAGAAGUAAUUAUUAUAUUGAAUUACACAAUUUGAUAUAAUAAAAUAUAAGUGUAACGACAAUUACUACAGCUAUCAAUCUUCAAUAAUUUGUGAAGAAUCCAGCCUCAAAUGCAAUGAAGCUUUAUAAAAUUUGUGAUUACAGAGUGUAAAAUAUAACAGAUGCUACAAUAUUUAGAUGCCUGCUGGCAUUUACCUUUUCCUCUGCACAGUUCAUUUCAACUGUAUGAAAAUUUUAUGUGUUACAUAAAAGUAGAGAAAAAGAAAGUGAUUUGCAAAAUAACCACAUGAGAAUUGAUGGUGUGUUUUCAGCAAUGUGGUAUUUGAUUCUUUGGAUCAGAUGAACUAUGCAAGAAAGUAGAGAAUUUGAUAAUACAUAUUAUUUUCAGUUUCAUAUUAUUUUCAGUGAAAGAUGCAUAGGUCAAAAAAAAAAACCGCAAUGUUGAAUUUGGUUACUUUCUCUAUGCAUUCAGAGCUGAUUUUUUAAGCUGGGAGGCCUAUUAUUCACUGAAGAAAUGGUCUUGCUUUAAGGGUUGUAGUGGAAGGGUAAUGGCAUUGGUGCCAUUCAAGAUAUAGCCACUGUUAUCUUUCUUUUGAUUUUUAAAUUUUAGAUUUAAAAUUUUUUGAGAUGGAGUCUCACUCUGUCACCCAGGCUGGAGUGCAGUGGUUCAAUCUCGGCUCACUGCAAACUCAGCCUCCCGAGUAGCUGGGAUUACAGGUAUGUGCCACCACACCCAGCUAAUGUUUGUAUUUUAGUAGAGACAGGGUUUCAUCAUGUUGGCCAGGCUGGUCUGGAACUCCUGACCUCAAGUGAUCCACCCCCUCUCAGCCUCCCAAAGUGCUGGGAUUACAGAUGUGAGCCACCACACUGACUGCCAAUGUUAUAUUUUAAAAGCAAGAUACUUAGAGUGUAACACCUGCUUCUUGAAAAUAUAUUUUGCAGGUUAUCAAAUAUCAGUCUUCUCAUUUAAAAAUUAUGUUAUUAUCUUAUCUGUGAUUAUAUUGUAAACA
This 5010-nucleotide long non-coding RNA is filed under the name Macaca mulatta (Rhesus monkey). Its description in RNAcentral is "lncRNA (ENSMMUG00000056415.1)". Lineage: Eukaryota; Metazoa; Chordata; Mammalia; Primates; Cercopithecidae. The record is from RNAcentral.